This 1430-nucleotide ribosomal RNA is filed under the name Bacillus sp. KA-25. RNAcentral describes it as "16S ribosomal RNA". It matches the Rfam family "Bacterial small subunit ribosomal RNA". Lineage: Bacteria; Bacillati; Bacillota; Bacilli; Caryophanales; Bacillaceae. The record is from RNAcentral.
AGUCGAGCGAUGGAUUAAGAGCUUGCUCUUAUGAAGUUAGCGGCGGACGGGUGAGUAACACGUGGGUAACCUGCCCAUAAGACUGGGAUAACUCCGGGAAACCGGGGCUAAUACCGGAUAACAUUUUGAACCGCAUGGUUCGAAAUUGAAAGGCGGCUUCGGCUGUCACUUAUGGAUGGACCCGCGUCCCAAUAACUAAUUUGGUGAGGUAACGGCUCACCAAGGCAACGAUGCGUAGCCGACCUGAGAGGGUGAUCGGCCACACUGGGACUGAGACACGGCCCAGACUCCUACGGGAGGCAGCAGUAGGGAAUCUUCCGCAAUGGACGAAAGUCUGACGGAGCAACGCCGCGUGAGUGAUGAAGGCUUUCGGGUCGUAAAACUCUGUUGUUAGGGAAGAACAAGUGCUAGUUGAAUAAGUGGCCCUUUCGGCGGUACCUAACCAGAAAGCCCCGGCUAACUACGUGCCAGCAGCCGCGGUAAUACGUAAGUGGGCAAGCGUUAUCCGGAAUUAUUGGGCGUAAAGCGCGCGCAGGUGGUUUCUUAAGUCUGAUGUGAAAGCCCACGGCUCAACCGUGGAGGGUCAUUGGAAACUGGGAGACUUGAGUGCAGAAGGAGGAAAGUGGAAUCCAUGUGUAGCGGUGAAAUGCGUAGAAGAUAAGGAGGACACCAGUGGGGGAAGGGGGACUUUUCUGGGUCUGUAACUGACCAUGAGGCGGGGAAAGCGGUGGGGAGGCAAACCAGGAUUAGAUACCCUGGUAGUCAACGCCGUAAACGAUGAGUGGUUAGUGGUAGAGGGGUUCCGCCCUUUAGUUGUGAAGGUAACGCAAUUAAACAAUCCCCCUGGGGAGUUCGGCCGCAAGGGUGAAACUUAAAGGAAUUGACGGGGGCCCGCCCCAGCGGUGGAGCAUGGUGUUUUAUUUGGAGGAACGCGGAGGACCUUUACAGGGUCUGACCUCCUUUGACAAACCUAGAAGUAGGGGUUUUCCUUUGGGAGCAGAAUGACAGGUGGUGCCUGGUUGUCGUCAGCUCCUGUUCGGAGAUGGUGGGGUAAGUCCCGCAACGAGGGCAACCCUUGAUUUUUAUUGCCCUCCAUUAGUUGGGCCAUUUAAGGUGACUGCCGGUGAACAACCGGAGGAAGGUGGGGAUGACGUCAAAUUAUCAUGCCCCUUAUGACCUGGGGUACACAAGUGGUACAAUUGACGGUACAAAGAGGUGCAAGGCCGGGAGGUGGAAGUAAUUUCAUAAAACCGUUUUCAAUUUGGAAUGUUGGGUGCAAAUUGCCUACCAGAAAGCGGAAUUGGUUGUAAUUGGGGAUCAGCCAGCCGCGGGGAAUAAGUUCCCGGGCCUUGUACCCCCCCCCCGUCCCCCCCCGAGAGUUUGUAACCCCCGAAGUUGGUGGGGUUACCUUUUGGAGCCAGCCGCCUAAG